GCUAGCUUCGGGCUGGCGGGCGCGGUAAGACGAAGGGUGCAAGCGUUAAUGGGAAUGACUGGGCGGAAAGCGCGCUGAGGCGGUUUGAUAAGUGAGAUGGGAAAGCCCCGGGCUCAACCUGGGAACUGCAUCUCAGACUGUCAGGCUAGAGUACGGUAGAGGGGGGUAGAAUUCCACGUGUAGCGGUGAAAUGCGUAGAGAUGUGGAGGAAUACCAGUGGCGAAGGCGGCCCCCUGGAUCGAUACUGACGCUGAGGUGCGAAAGCGUGGGGAGCAAACAGGAUUAGAUACCCCGGUAGUC
RNAcentral lists this ribosomal RNA (300 nucleotides) under uncultured Bacillus sp. RNAcentral describes it as "bacterial SSU rRNA". It matches the Rfam family "Bacterial small subunit ribosomal RNA", at positions 496 to 795 of the family's 1533-position model. The record is from RNAcentral. Lineage: Bacteria; Bacillati; Bacillota; Bacilli; Caryophanales; Bacillaceae.